This 497-nucleotide ribosomal RNA is filed under the name uncultured bacterium. Its description in RNAcentral is "partial 16S ribosomal RNA". It matches the Rfam family "Bacterial small subunit ribosomal RNA", at positions 28 to 507 of the family's 1533-position model. The record is from RNAcentral.
GAUGAACGCUGGCGGCGUGCCUAAUACAUGCAAGUCGAGCGAACGGACGAGAAGCUUGCUUCUCUGAUGUUAGCGGCGGACGGGUGAGUAACACGUGGAUAACCUACCUAUAAGACUGGGAUAACUUCGGGAAACCGGAGCUAAUACCGGAUAAUAUUUUGAACCGCAUGGUUAAAAAGUGAAAGACGGUCUUGCUGUAACUUAUAGAUGGAUCGGCGCUGCAUUAGCUAGUUGGUAAGGUAACGGCUUACCAAGGCAACGAUGCAUAGCCGACCUGAGAGGGUGAUCGGCCACACUGGAACUGAGACACGGUCCAGACUCCUACGGGAGGCAGCAGUAGGGAAUCUUCCGCAAUGGGCGAAAGCCUGACGGAGCAACGCCGCGUGAGUGAUGAAGGUCUUCGGAUCGUAAAACUCUGUUAUUAGGGAAGAACAUAUGUGUAAGUAACUGUGCACAUCUUGACGGUACCUAAUCAGAAAGCCACGGCUAACUACGUG